RNAcentral lists this ribosomal RNA (406 nucleotides) under uncultured bacterium. RNAcentral describes it as "partial 16S ribosomal RNA". It matches the Rfam family "Bacterial small subunit ribosomal RNA", at positions 30 to 526 of the family's 1533-position model. The record is from RNAcentral.
AUUGAACGCUGGCGGCAGGCCUAACACAUGCAAGUCGAACGAGUGGCGGACGGGUGAGUAAUGUCUGGGAAACUGCCUGUUGGAGGGGGAUAAAUACUGGAAACGGUAGCUAAUACCGCAUACCAUCGGAUGUGCCCAGAUGGGAUUAGCUAGUAGGUGGGGUAAAGGCUAACCUAGGCGACGAUCCCUAGCUGGUCUGAGAGGAUGACCGGCCACACUGGAACUGCGACACGGUCCAGACUCCUACGGGAGGCAGCAGUGGGGAAUAUGGCACAAUGGGCGCAAGCCUGAUGCAGCCAUGCCGCGUGUAUGAAGAAGGCCUUCGGGUUGUAAAGUACUUUCAGCGGGGAGGCGUUACCCGCAGAAGAAGCACCGGCUAACUCCGUGCCAGCAGCCGCGGUAAUUC